GGCUUCUCACGUGAUGUUUUCUUCCCACAGGUGGAAAAGGAGGGAGCUACGCUCAGGCUGCAAGCAGUGACAGUGCCCAGGGCUCUGAUGUGUCUCUCACGGCUUCUAAAGCGUGAGACAGCUGCCUUGUGGGGGACUGAGUGAUGCAAGAUUUGUUCAUGCCCCACUUUGUGACUUCAGGAACCUCUGACCUCUCUCUGCAAAAGGCAUCUGAAUAGUUCUGCAUUCCUCUCAGCAUCCUGUGAGGAGGUGGGAGACUACCCGCCCCCUGCUCUCCACGCCCCGUCCCUGCACUGACUGGUGACUGAGCCUCUUCCCUGACCCACUGUCCUGUUCCAGCAGAGGCUGUUUCCAUCUCCGCCUUUACUUCAUGUUACUUUGAGCGGCAACUUCUCACUUCCUAUAGAAAUAAACAUUUGGAUAUGAAUUU
Molecule: long non-coding RNA, 430 nt
Organism: Hipposideros armiger (great roundleaf bat)
Lineage: Eukaryota; Metazoa; Chordata; Mammalia; Chiroptera; Hipposideridae
Exons: 3
Source: RefSeq, a predicted model, not a curated record